Molecule: non-coding RNA, 813 nt
Filed under: Brassica napus (rape)
Lineage: Eukaryota; Viridiplantae; Streptophyta; Magnoliopsida; Brassicales; Brassicaceae
Description: Eukaryotic large subunit ribosomal RNA
Rfam family: Eukaryotic large subunit ribosomal RNA
Source: Rfam by way of RNAcentral
CGACCCCAGGUCAGGCGUGAUCACCCGCUGAGUUUAAGCAUAUCAAUAAGCGGAGGAAAAGAAACUAACAAGGAUUUCCUUAGUAACGGCGAGCGAACCGGGAAUAGCCCAUCUUGAAAGUCGGACGUUUUCGGCGUUCGAAUUGUAGUCUGGAGAAGCGUCCUCAGCGGCGGGUCAGGCCCAAGUUCCCUGGAAAGGGGCGCCAGAGAGGGUGAGAUCCCCGUCGUGCCCAGACCCUAUCGCACCACGAGGCACUAUCUACGAGUCGGGUUGUUUGGGAAUGCAGCCCCAACCGAGCGGUAAAUUCCGUCCAAGGCUAAAUGUGGGCGAGAGACCGAUAGCAAACAAGUACCACGAGGUAAAGAUGAAAAGGACUUUGAAAAGAGAAUCAAAGAGUGCUUGAAAUUGUCGGGAGGGAAGCGGAUGGGGGCCGGCGAUUCGUCCCGUUUGGAUGCGGAACGGAGCAAUCCGGUCCGCCAAUCGAUUCGGGCCAUGGACCAACGCAGAUUAAGGUGGUGACCUAAGCCCGGGCUUUUGUUACGCCCACGGAGACGUCACUGCCUUAAUCGUGGUAUGCAGCACGCGCCUCACGGCGUGCCUUGGCAUCUGCGUGCUCAGGGCGUCGACAUGUGGGCUCCCCAUUAGACCCAUCUUGAAACAUGGACCAAGAAGUCUGACAUGUGUGCGAGUCAACGGGUGAGUAAACCCGUAAGGUGCAAAGAAGCUGAUUGGCUGGAUCCCUCACGGGUGCACAGCCAACCGACCUUGAUCUUCUGAGAAGGGUUAGAUUGUGAGCAUGCCUGUUGGGACCUG